UGCCCUCCUAAGGAUGGAACAUGGGA
This 26-nucleotide non-coding RNA is filed under the name Rattus norvegicus (Norway rat). Lineage: Eukaryota; Metazoa; Chordata; Mammalia; Rodentia; Muridae. The record is from RNAcentral.